RNAcentral lists this long non-coding RNA (284 nucleotides) under Brassica rapa (field mustard). RNAcentral describes it as "long non-coding RNA (BRAP_LNC001201)". The record is from RNAcentral. Lineage: Eukaryota; Viridiplantae; Streptophyta; Magnoliopsida; Brassicales; Brassicaceae.
CGAUGUAUAAAGCUGAUAGCAUGAAAGCAGCAAUUGCAAAUUGGUUGAUGCAUUAUUAGCAUUUUGCUUGCGGGUAUUUAAAAUGUUUGAUUCAGUGAUAUAUUAAAAUUUUAAUCAUUAGUUAAAAGUUUGGUUUAUGUAUUUUUAAUGGUUUAGUGGUUUAAUGUUUUUUUUUUGUCUAUACUCUAUAGCCUUUUUCAGCAUUUGAAAGGUUAAUCAAGGAUUGUAACCUAACGGAUGAUUGUUUGCAUAUUUCGAACUAUUUUUUUUAGUUUUGUUUCUCA